RNAcentral lists this ribosomal RNA (950 nucleotides) under Plasmodium knowlesi. Its description in RNAcentral is "SSU rRNA". It matches the Rfam family "Eukaryotic small subunit ribosomal RNA", at positions 183 to 1051 of the family's 1831-position model. The record is from RNAcentral. Lineage: Eukaryota; Apicomplexa; Aconoidasida; Haemosporida; Plasmodiidae.
CUUGAUUUAUUUCUUGAGUGUGUACUUGUUAAGCCUUAUAAGAAAAGAGUUAUUAACUUAAGGAAUUAUAACAAAGAAGUAACACGUAAUGGAUUCUUCCAUUUUUAGUGUGUAUCAAUCGAGUUUCUGACCUAUCAGCUUUUGAUGUUAGGGUAUUGGCCUAACAUGGCUAUGACGGGUAACGGGGAAUUAGAGUUCGAUUCCGGAGAGGGAGCCUGAGAAAUAGCUACCACAUCUAAGGAAGGCAGCAGGCGCGUAAAUUACCCAAUUCUAAAGAAGAGAGGUAGUGACAAGAAAUAACAAUACAAGGCCAAUCUGGCUUUGUAAUUGGAAUGAUGGGAAUUUAAAACCUUCCCAAAAUUCAAUUGGAGGGCAAGUCUGGUGCCAGCAGCCGCGGUAAUUCCAGCUCCAAUAGCGUAUAUUAAAAUUGUUGCAGUUAAAACGCUCGUAGUUGAAUUUCAAAGAAUCGAUAUUUUAAGUAACGCUUCUAGCUAUAAAUCCACAUAACUGAUGCCUCCGCGUAUCGACUUUGUGCGCAUUUUAGCUAUUAUGUGUUCUUUUAAUUAAAAUGAUUCUUUUUAAGAUUCAUCUAUUAAAAAUUUGCUUCGGCAUAAUUUUUUUUGAUGAUCUUGUUACUUUGAGUAAAUUAGAGUGUUCAAAGCAAACAGAUAUAGCAUUUGUGCGUUUGAAUACUACAGCAUGGAAUAACAAAAUUGAACAAGUCAGAAUUUUUUUGUUCUUUUUUCUUAUUUUGGCUUAGUUACGAUUAAUAGGAGUAGCUUGGGGGCAUUUGUAUUCAGAUGUCAGAGGUGAAAUUCUUAGAUUUUCUGGAGACAAACAACUGCGAAAGCAUUUGCCUAAAAUACUUCCAUUAAUCAAGAACGAAAGUUAAGGGAGUGAAGACGAUCAGAUACCGUCGUAAUCUUAACCAUAAACUAUGCCGACUAGGC